RNAcentral lists this ribosomal RNA (517 nucleotides) under uncultured bacterium. Its description in RNAcentral is "bacterial SSU rRNA". It matches the Rfam family "Bacterial small subunit ribosomal RNA", at positions 372 to 880 of the family's 1533-position model. The record is from RNAcentral.
UGGGGGGAACCCUGAUCCAGCCAUGCCGCGUGUGUGAAGAAGGCCUUUUGGUUGUAAAGCACUUUAAGCGAGGAGGAGGCUACUGGUAUUAAUACUACCGGAUAGUGGACGUUACUCGCAGAAUAAGCACCGGCUAACUCUGUGCCAGCAGCCGCGGUAAUACAGAGGGUGCGAGCGUUAAUCGGAUUUACUGGGCGUAAAGCGUGCGUAGGCGGCUUUUUAAGUCGGAUGUGAAAUCCCUGAGCUUAACUUAGGAAUUGCAUUCGAUACUGGGAGGCUAGAGUAUGGGAGAGGAUGGUAGAAUUCCAGGUGUAGCGGUGAAAUGCGUAGAGAUCUGGAGGAAUACCGAUGGCGAAGGCAGCCAUCUGGCCUAAUACUGACGCUGAGGUACGAAAGCAUGGGGAGCAAACAGGAUUAGAUACCCUGGUAGUCCAUGCCGUAAACGAUGUCUACUAGCCGUUGGGGCCUUUGAGGCUUUAGUGGCGCAGCUAACGCGAUAAGUAGACCGCCUGGGGAG